GGGGGCCCGCACAAGCGGUGGAGCAUGUGGUUUAAUUCGAUGCAACGCGAAGAACCUUACCUACUCUUGACAUCCAGAGAACUUUCCAGAGAUGGAUUGGUGCCUUCGGGAACUCUGAGACAGGUGCUGCAUGGCUGUCGUCAGCUCGUGUUGUGAAAUGUUGGGUUAAGUCCCGCAACGAGCGCAACCCUUAUCCUUUGUUGCCAGCGAUUCGGUCGGGAACUCAAAGGAGACUGCCGGUGAUAAACCGGAGGAAGGUGGGGAUGACGUCAAGUCAUCAUGGCCCUUACGAGUAGGGCUACACACGUGCUACAAUGGCGCAUACAAAGAGAAGCGACCUCGCGAGAGCAAGCGGACCUCACAAAGUGCGUCGUAGUCCGGAUCGGAGUCUGCAACUCGACUCCGUGAAGUCGGAAUCGCUAGUAAUCGUGGAUCAGAAUGCCACGGUGAAUACGUUCCCGGGCCUUGUACACACCGCCCGUCACACCAUGGGAGUGGGUUGCAAAAGAAGUAGGUAGCUUAACCUUCGGGAGGGCGCUUACCACUUUGUGAUUCAUGACUGGGGUGAAGUCGUACAA
Molecule: ribosomal RNA, 578 nt
Filed under: Pantoea sp. EKM103V
Lineage: Bacteria; Pseudomonadati; Pseudomonadota; Gammaproteobacteria; Enterobacterales; Erwiniaceae
Description: bacterial SSU rRNA
Rfam family: Bacterial small subunit ribosomal RNA
Source: RNAcentral